Molecule: ribosomal RNA, 506 nt
Filed under: uncultured bacterium
Lineage: Bacteria
Description: bacterial SSU rRNA
Rfam family: Bacterial small subunit ribosomal RNA
Source: RNAcentral
CACUGGCUCAGGAUGAACGCUAGCGGCAGGCUUAACACAUGCAAGUCGAGGGGCAUCGGGAGUAGCAAUACUUGCCGGCGACCGGCGCAAGGGUGCGUAACGCGUGAGCAACAUGCCCGUAUCAGGGGGAUAAUCCAUGGAAACGUGGUCUAAUACCCCAUAGUAAUUAUGUAAGGCAUCUUAUAUAAUUUAAAGCUUUGGUGGAUACGGAUUGGCUCGCGUGACAUUAGCUGGAUGGUAAGGUAACGGCUUACCAUGGCUACGAUGUCUAGGGGUUCUGAGAGGAAGGUCCCCCACACUGGAACUGAGACACGGUCCAGACUCCUACGGGAGGCAGCAGUGAGGAAUAUUGGACAAUGGAUGGAAAUCUGAUCCAGCCAUGCCGCGUGCAGGAAGACGGCCCUAUGGGUUGUAAACUGCUUUUGUAUGGGAGCAAUAAGGGCUACGUGUAGUCCGAUGAGAGUACCAUACGAAUAAGCACCGGCUAACUCCGUGCCAGCCGCCGC